GCACGCACCUUUCCUUCUGGUUUUCGGACAGGACGUUUACUUUGAAAAAAUUAGAGUGUUCAAAGCAGGCAAUUUGCUCGAAUAUAUUAGCAUGGAAUAAGGGAAUAGGACAAUGGUUCUAUUUCGUUGGUUUUCAGUACCAUUGUAAUGAUUAAUAGGGACGGACGGGGGCAUCAGUAUUCCGUAGUCAGAGGUGAAAUUCUUGGAUUUACGGAAGACUAACUACUGCGAAAGCAUUUGCCAAGCACGUUUUCAUUAAUCAAGAACGAAAGUUAGGGGAUCGAAGAUGAUCAGAUACCGUCGUAGUCUUAACCAUAAACUAUGCCGACUAGGGAUCAGGCGUGCUUCAAUUUGACGCGCUCGGCACCUUACGAGAAAUCAAGGUCUUUGGGUUCUGGGGGGAGUAUGGUCGCAAGGCUGAAACUUAAAGGAAUUGACGGAAGGGCACCACCAGGAGUGGAGCCUGCGGCUUAAUUUGACUCAGCACGGGGAAACUCACCAGGUCCAGACACAAUAAGGAUUGACAGAUUGAGAGCUCUUUCUUGAUUUUGUGGGUGGUGGUGCAUGGCCGUUCUUAGUUGGUGGAGUGAUUUGUCUGCUUAAUUGCGAUAACGAACGAGACCUUAACUUUUAAAUAGGCACGCUAGCAUUUGCUGGUGCUGCCUUCUUAAAAGGACUAUCUAUGUCAAGUAGAUGGAAGUUUGAGGCAAUAACAGGUCUGUGAUGCCCUUAGACGUUCUGGGCCGCACGCGCGCUACACUGACGGAGCCAGCGAGUCUACCUUGGCCGAGAGGCCCGGGAAAUCUUGUGAAACUCCGUCGUGCUGGGGAUAGAGCAUUGCAAUUUUUGCUCUUCAACGAGGAAUUCCUAGUAAGCGCAAGUCAUCAGCUUGCGUUGAUUACGUCCCUGCCCUUUGUACACACCGCCCGUCGCU
Molecule: ribosomal RNA, 934 nt
Filed under: uncultured eukaryote
Lineage: Eukaryota
Description: SSU rRNA
Rfam family: Eukaryotic small subunit ribosomal RNA
Source: RNAcentral